GAUGAACGCUGGCGGCGUGCCUAAUACAUGCAAGUCGAACGCACAGCGAUAGGUGCUUGCACCUAUCAAGUGAGUGGCGAACGGGUGAGUAACACGUGGACAACCUGCCUCAAGGCUGGGGAUAACAUUUGGAAACAGAUGCUAAUACCGAAUAAAACUUAGUGUCGCAUGACACCAGGUUAAAAAGGCGCUACGGCGUCACCUAGAGAUGGAUCCGCGGUGCAUUAGUUAGUUGGUGAGGUAAAGGCGUCACCAAGACAAUGAUGCAUAGCCGAGUUGAGAGACUGAUCGGCCACAUUGGGACUGAGACACGGCCCAAACUCCUACGGGAGCUGCAGUAGGGAAUCGUUUCCCAAC
RNAcentral lists this ribosomal RNA (357 nucleotides) under uncultured bacterium. Its description in RNAcentral is "bacterial SSU rRNA". It matches the Rfam family "Bacterial small subunit ribosomal RNA", at positions 28 to 372 of the family's 1533-position model. The record is from RNAcentral.